CGUGUGUGGUAACCACGGUACCGGCGUGUGUGAGAUGUGAGUGGCAGGAGGGUGCCUCUGCUGGUCUUUGCCAACAAGAUGGACUUGAAGGAGUCUCUGUCAAGCGUGGCCUGUUCCAGCCUCCUGGGGCUACCAGACGUGCACCAGUCUCCCUGGCACAUCGUUGCGAGUAACGCUCUGAAGGGAGAGGGACUGCAAGAGGGAGUGGAUUGGUUACAAGAUCAGAUCCGUUCAAUGAAGACUUGAAGGACAGAACAACUACACACACACCCACACACUCACCCACACACUCACCCACACACUCACCCACACACUCACCCACUCACCAACACACUCACCAACACACUCACCAACACACUCACCAACACACUCACCAACACACUCACCAACACACCCACACACUCACCAACACACUCACCAACACACUCACCCGCACACUCACCCGCACACUCACCAACACACUCACCAACACACUCACCAACACACUCACCAACACACUCACCCACACACUCACCAACACACUCACCCGCACACUCACCCGCACACUCACCAACACACUCAUCAACACACUCACCCACACACUCACCCACUCACCAACACACUCACCAACACACUCACCAACACACUCACCCACACACUCACCCACUCACCAACACACUCACCCACACACUCACCGGCACACUCACCCACACACUCACCCACACACUCACCCACACACUCACCCACACACUCACCAAUACACCCACUCACCCACUCACUCACCCACCCACUCACCCACCCAGCCAACUCAGUCACCCACUCACCCAUACACUCACCCACUCACUCACCCACACACUCACUCACCCACUCACUCACCCACUCACCCACCUACUCACCCACCUACUCACCCACUCACGCCCUUACUCUGUUGUAUGUUAAGUUAUACUUUGUCCGAGUAAACAUUCCGCUUGUGUUUUA
Long non-coding RNA from Lethenteron reissneri (Far Eastern brook lamprey), 957 nucleotides. RefSeq lists it as uncharacterized. The record is from RefSeq and is a predicted model, not a curated record. Lineage: Eukaryota; Metazoa; Chordata; Hyperoartia; Petromyzontiformes; Petromyzontidae.